This 253-nucleotide ribosomal RNA is filed under the name uncultured bacterium. Its description in RNAcentral is "partial 16S ribosomal RNA". It matches the Rfam family "Bacterial small subunit ribosomal RNA", at positions 524 to 776 of the family's 1533-position model. The record is from RNAcentral.
UACGUAGGGAGCAAGCGUUGUCCGGAAUCAUUGGGCGUAAAGCGCGCGUAGGCGGCCCUGUAAGUCCGUUGUGAAAGUCAAAGGCUCAACCUUUGAAAGCCGAUGGAUACUGCAGGGCUAGAGUCCGGAAGAGGCGAGUGGAAUUCCUGGUGUAGCGGUGGAAUGCGCAGAUAUCAGGAGGAACACCAAUAGCGAAGGCAGCUCGCUGGGACGGUACUGACGCUGAGGCACGAAGGUCAGGGGAGCAAACGGG